Sciurus carolinensis (gray squirrel) is the source of this 110-nucleotide small nuclear RNA. NCBI's taxonomy places the organism in Eukaryota, Metazoa, Chordata, Mammalia, Rodentia, Sciuridae. The record is from RefSeq and is a predicted model, not a curated record.
GUUCUGCUCCCUUUGGCAGUACAUAGACUAAAAUUGGAACAAAACAGAAAAGAUUAGCAUGGUUCCCAGGCAAGGAUGAUUCACAAAUUUAUGAAGCAGUCCAUAUUUCU